GGAAUCUUCGGCAAUGGGGGGCAACCCUGACCGAGCAACGCCGCGUGAGUGAAGAAGAUUUUCGGAUCGUAAAGCUCUGUUGUAAGAGAAGAACGUGUGUGAGAGUGGAAAGUUCACACAGUGACGGUAACUUACCAGAAAGGGACGGCUAACUACGCGCCAG
This 163-nucleotide ribosomal RNA is filed under the name uncultured bacterium. Its description in RNAcentral is "partial 16S rRNA". It matches the Rfam family "Bacterial small subunit ribosomal RNA", at positions 358 to 511 of the family's 1533-position model. The record is from RNAcentral.